Molecule: non-coding RNA, 175 nt
Filed under: Heterosigma akashiwo
Lineage: Eukaryota; Raphidophyceae; Chattonellales; Chattonellaceae
Source: RNAcentral
CUGGCUGGCGGGCGCGGCGCGGGUGGUGCCCCCCUCGCACUACCUGCACCCGGACGGCGCGCUCUUCCAGUUCCCCAUGCUCAAGGCGGAGGGCCUGAAGGGCGCCAUCGUCUACUACGACGGCCAGAUGAACGACACGCGCAUGAACCUCGUCGUCGCCCUCACCGCCGACCAA